RNAcentral lists this ribosomal RNA (549 nucleotides) under uncultured Glomeromycotina. RNAcentral describes it as "SSU rRNA". It matches the Rfam family "Eukaryotic small subunit ribosomal RNA", at positions 548 to 1098 of the family's 1831-position model. Lineage: Eukaryota; Fungi; Glomeromycota. The record is from RNAcentral.
UUGGAGGGCAAGUCUGGUGCCAGCAGCCGCGGUAAUUCCAGCUCCAAUAGCGUAUAUUAAAGUUGUUGCAGUUAAAAAGCUCGUAGUUGAAUUUCGGGAUCAAUAUAUCGGUCGUGCCUUCGGUAUGUACUGGUAUUAUUGGUUUCUCCUUUCUGACAGACUAUGAUGUCAUUAAUUUGGUGUCAUGGGGAAUCAGGACUGUUACUUUGAAAAAAUUAGAGUGUUUAAAGCAGGCACACGCUUGAAUACAUUAGCAUGGAAUAAUGAAAUAGGACGUUUGACCCUAUUUUGUUGGUUUCUAGGAUCGACGUAAUGAUUAAUAGGGAUAGUUGGGGGCAUUAGUAUUCAAUUGUCAGAGGUGAAAUUCUUGGAUUUAUUGAAGACUAACUACUGCGAAAGCAUUUGCCAAGGAUGUUUUCAUUAAUCAAGAACGAAAGUUAGGGGAUCGAAGACGAUCAGAUACCGUCGUAGUCUUAACCAUAAACUAUGCCGACUAGGGAUCGGAUGAUGUUAAUUUUUUAAUGACUCAUUCGGCGCCUUACGGGAAAC